GGCGCAGUGGCAGAGUGGUCUAAUGCGCAAGACUAGAAUGUCUCUAUUCUCAGGGAAGCUAAUCUUGUUCCUUCGGGAGCGUCUGUUCAAAUCAGGCCUGCGUCG
Molecule: non-coding RNA, 105 nt
Organism: Hypoxylon fuscum
Lineage: Eukaryota; Fungi; Ascomycota; Sordariomycetes; Xylariales; Hypoxylaceae
Source: the annotation of a GenBank genome assembly